UGUAUUUAAUUGUUUGUGAUUUCCAUUAUUUCUUUCCUAUGUAAUUCUUUUUGCUCUAUUUUUUAGUUCAUCAUGCCUAUGUAGCACUUAUCUAUUCUCUGAGCACUUGGAUACCUAUCUUCAGGUAUCAUAUAAUGCUCUAGCAUUGUAUUUGAUACAUGCCCAAACUAUGACAGCUACGUUCUUAAAAUCUUCUGAUAAGGUCUCAUUUUGUGUCCCCUGUUUACUUCAUUUCAGUUUUGUUUAUUCGUUGUGCCUUCAGUGGAUUUCAGUUCCACAUACUCCUGUGACAAGUCAUUCAUUAUGUUCUGGCCAGACUCAUGUACUAUCCCUAAACAUCACCUCCUAUUGCCAUUAUCAGAGACAGAAGAGUGAGGUGCUGUGAGAUGUCUAUCUUGAAGAAAAAGUUCAGCCAUUCAAGAUAGGAGCAGGUAUGACUGUCCUGAUGCAAUUAAUUUGCACUUUGGUCAGCUCUGAGUUGAUGAAUAGACAACUGGAUAAUACCAAAAUCAUGUGAGUACCUAAACAAGAAGUGAGGCAUAGGCUAAGUUAUCAGUUUGAAGAUAACCAAAAAGGUUAAGAAAUCAAACAGAAGAACAGAAGGAAAUCCAUGCCUAAGAAGUAUGUUAAGAGAAAACAUAGUCUGAAUAUUAGCAAAAAUAUCAUGACAAUGCAGUGUGCUGUAAAUUUAAAACAAGACGAUCCUUAAUUGUUAGUAAAGCAUAAAAAAGUAUACUGUAUUUUUCAAUGUUAAAUUGUGGAGUAGUUUUUUUCUGUGUCAAUAUUACUCUUCCACAGACAAAGUAUCCUUGACCUGCAUACUGGGUAUUUAGUCCUUGCUGCCAGUUCAUAAUACACGACUGACCAGUGGGCAAAACCUUCACUCAUUCAGAGAUAGAAAGAAAGUACAAAU
Strigops habroptila (Kakapo) is the source of this 913-nucleotide long non-coding RNA. RefSeq lists it as uncharacterized. The record is from RefSeq and is a predicted model, not a curated record. NCBI's taxonomy places the organism in Eukaryota, Metazoa, Chordata, Aves, Psittaciformes, Psittacidae. The transcript has 5 exons.